UCAGCACUCAGUCUUCUUUAUGGUCCAACUCUCACAUCCAUAUAUGACUACUGGAAAAACCAUAGCUUUGAGUACAGGGACCUUUGUCCGCAAACGGAUAUCUCCAUUUUUUAAUACACAGUCUCGCUUCAGAGCCUUAGGAAAACGCAGAGCCUUCAGCGAGAGGUCAUUUCAAGGGAAGUUGCCUGGUGGGCUACUCCAGACAGUGGGAGUGGUGAGCACGGUCAGAUCCUCAGAUGGAGGGCCUCAGAGAAUCCACAAUCUCCUGGACUGGUGACCUUUACACUGAGUUGAGGGAGCCAGAGACCUCUCCUUAAGGACAUACUUGAUUAUUUUAUCUUGUGUGUAAUUGGGCAAAUUCUAGGCAAGUUCUAGAUUUUCGUUAGUACUUAAAUACGUGGAAAUAUUCAUUAUUUAGAUGAACGGGUAUCUGGGAGGGAAGAUACUGAUCAAUGACAAAAUUUCUAAGAACUCUGAGUUCUUUCCAACUGGGAAAGAUUCUACCUCAAGCACAUUCUAUGUCACAUCCUCUGGCGUGAAUGUUACAUGAUUUUCCUUGCUAGGCAACAUUUAGUUCACUGUGAUUUUCUUUGUCUUGGAGUUUGGGUAAUGUGCUGGAGUUCAGGGGGCUAGUGAAACAGCAUGUGAAACAACUGACCAGCUUAAACUGGUUUGACCUUCUCAAAUAGAUUGUUGAUUAAUCACACCUUGAGUCAUUUUACAAGGAAAGAACUGCAUGUGUCCAAGAAGGAACACAUGACCUCAAUAUGACCCCGGAGCCAAGCUCUUCAGUCUGCAAAACUCAGAGAAGAGAAAUAUUGCCCCCGGCCAUUUACAAAGUGAGACCUCCUUCAAUGAGGAAAACCUGGCUUCCUGUAACCUAAGUAGCGAAAAGGGACUAAUUGAAGACUAGCCAAUUAGCUUCCAAGUUAGAAAUUCCCCUGACCCCUUAGAUUGCACCCAGGCUCCUGGGUUGAACAGAGAUUUGAUACCUUGCGUCCUGCAUUUGUAGGCCUUGCAGUAAAGCUCUUUUCUCUAAAACUCUUGCCAUAAGUGUUGACUUCUCUGAGCAUCGGGCAGUGAGCCCAUCUUCCGUGAGUUUGGGCAGCCUUGUUGAGGUUUAGGACUUGUGACCAUCUGCUUGAUGCACUAUAGCCCCUGGUGGGCCUUCAACACCAACCCUGAGUGUCACCUAUACUGAGUUUGUCUAGAGAGUUGGCUCUCAGGUUCCUGUUUCCUAGCCAUGGCACUCUGGGCUCCUCUGGCUUCUGGGGCUCCUUUCACUUUUAAGGAAGGAAACAGCUCCUGGAUCAGACAUCUUUGGGACAUUUAGGUUACUUCCAUAUCUUCCCUGUGAUUCAUGGGGUCGAAAAGAGCCGGACACGACUGAGCUACUGAACUGAACUGAACUGAUAUCUUGGCUAAUGUAAAUAGUGCUGCAAUGAAGACUGGAGUGCAUGUAUAUUUAUGAAUCAUGGUAUUCUCUGGAUAUGUACCAAGAGUGGGAUUGGUAAAUCAUAUGGUAACUCUAUUUUUUGUUUUUCAAGGAACUUCCAUAAUGUUCUCCAUAGUGACUGUGUCAAUUUGCGUUCCCACUGAGAGUGCAACAGUGUUCCCUUUUUUCCACACUCCAUCGUUUGUUGUUUGCAGAUUUUGGGUUGAUGACCAUUCUGGCUGGUGUGAGGUGAUACCUCAUUGUACUUUUCAUUUGCAUGUUUCUGAUAAUUAGUGAUGUUGAGCAUCUUUUCAUAGGCUUUUUGGUCAUCUGUAUGUCUUCUUUGAAGGAAUGUUUGUUUAUACACUCUGCCUACUUUUUAUGGGAUUGUUUAUUUUACACAGAGGUGCAUGAGCUAUUUAUAUAUUUUGGAGAUUAUUGUGCUGUUGUUUGCAAAUAUUUCCUCUCAUUCUGUGAGUUGUCUUUUUGUUUUUGGUUUCUUUUGCUGUGUGGAAGCUUUUGACUUUCAUUAAAGGUCACCUGUUUGUUUUUC
Long non-coding RNA from Bubalus bubalis (water buffalo), 1988 nucleotides. RefSeq lists it as uncharacterized. The record is from RefSeq and is a predicted model, not a curated record. Lineage: Eukaryota; Metazoa; Chordata; Mammalia; Artiodactyla; Bovidae. The transcript is spliced from 2 exons.